RNAcentral lists this long non-coding RNA (320 nucleotides) under Mytilus galloprovincialis (Mediterranean mussel). Lineage: Eukaryota; Metazoa; Mollusca; Bivalvia; Mytilida; Mytilidae. The record is from RNAcentral.
AAGCUGCAGCAAACUUAAUUUUAAUGAAGUUAAAUUUGCAGAUUUCAUCUUGUAUUUAAUUAAUGACAUUAUGACAACACAAAACCAGAUGCUCCGCAGGGCGCAGCUUUAUACGACCGCAGAGGUUGAACCCUGAACGGUUGGGGCAAGUAUGGACACAACAUUCAAGCUGGAUUUAGCUCUAAAUUUGGAUUGUGAUUAAAUAGUUGACACAGCAUAGGAUUCUGACACAGAAUGAAUGUGGUCUAAUGAACUUAAAAAAAAAUUUUUUGCCUUUGAGCAAUUCACUAUGCUGUUGAAUAUUAAUCUCUCAAAAAAAA